Molecule: long non-coding RNA, 747 nt
Organism: Mauremys mutica (yellowpond turtle)
Lineage: Eukaryota; Metazoa; Chordata; Testudines; Geoemydidae
Exons: 5
Source: RefSeq, a predicted model, not a curated record
CUCAAGCCCAGAAGUCUACACAGCAAAGAAACAGCCCCACAGGCUGAGCCCCAUGAGCCUGAGUCGGCUGGCACGGGCCAGGCAUGGGUGUCUAGUUGCUAUUCAGUCAUACCCCUCAGAGGGUUGGAGUGGACUAUAAGCUUAGGAGCCCUGAACCAGAGUCCUGAUGAACUGUUUGUUACAAUGAUUGUCCCCUUUUAAUCAGGUUUCUGGGGGAGGAUAGAAUUGUGUUAAAAAUGUGUCCUUCUUGCACUGGGCAGUUAAAGUGAAUCAGUUCCUGCUCUAUUUGGAGAAAUUAAAGUGAUGCACACCUGCAGUGCUAAAUUGGGCCACGAGGAGGUGAUAAGCAUUUACUUUUAAAUCAGCUAGAUCUGCUCCAGUGGACCAAGAUUGCCUUUCCUGCCUGAUGUACAGCGACAUAUGUGGCAAAUACCUGGCAUGACACUGAUGGAAAUACCAUGUGUAAUCUAUUAUCAGUUUUCAUUGCAUCGGAAAGAUAGUCACUUGAAGGGAAAGCAGAGAAGGAAAGGCGAGCCUAAUUUCUUGAAAGGUACUGGCAUCAAGGAAUUUGGAGAAGAAAAACAAACUUUCUGGCUAACAAGAAUGACGGAGGUUGGGUGACCACAUCUUCCCUGGAUGUCAGGGAGGAAUGAUACGAAUGAGGCAGAAUGUCUCCAUUCCAGGUGCCCCAAAUAGCGAUUUGCUGAGUUUUCAUCCUCUCUGCCUACAAAGGCAGAAGAAGUGAUC